AACUAACGCUGGCGGCGCGUCUUAAACAUGCAAGUCGAACGGUAGUCCUUGAGCUUGCUUAGGGAUGAGAGUGGCGAACGGUGAGUAACACGUGGAUAAUCUGCCUCCGGGUUGGGGAUAACUGUCCGAAAGGAUAGCUAAUACCGAAUGAGAUGGCGGUUACAUAAGUAGCAGCCAUUAAAGGUGGGGACCGCAAGGCCUACUGCCUGGAGAUGAGUCCGCGGCUGAUUAGCUAGUUGUGGGUAACGGCCUACCAAGGCGACGAUCAGUAGCCGGCCUGAGAGGGUGAACGGCCACAUUGGGACUGAGAUACGGCCCAGACUCCUACGGGAGGCAGCAGUUAAGAAUCUUGCACAAUGGGCGCAAGCCUGAUGCAGCGACGCCGCGUGAAUGAUGAAGGCCUUCGGGUUGUAAAGUUCAGUAAGCAGGAAGAAGUAAGCAAGGGGUAAUAAGUUUCUUG
This 460-nucleotide ribosomal RNA is filed under the name uncultured bacterium. RNAcentral describes it as "bacterial SSU rRNA". It matches the Rfam family "Bacterial small subunit ribosomal RNA", at positions 29 to 471 of the family's 1533-position model. The record is from RNAcentral.